This 2000-nucleotide long non-coding RNA is filed under the name Marmota monax (woodchuck). The record is from RNAcentral. Lineage: Eukaryota; Metazoa; Chordata; Mammalia; Rodentia; Sciuridae.
GAGAGAGAGAGAGAGAAUGCAGAGAGUGCUGUUCUCUUGCUAAGGACAAAAUAAAAACCCCACAGGCAUGCUCCAGUGACCUACUUCCUACAGGCACGCCCCACCUGCCUACAGUUACUACCCAGUACAGUAGUCCUUUAAAACUGGUAAUCCAUCAGAUGGCGACAGCUCUCAUAAUCAUUUCACCUCUGAACAUUCCUGCAUAACACAUGGGCUUUGGGGCGACACUUCAUAUCUAACCCUUAACAGCUCUGAUCAAAUGUUAGUUACCAGUGAGCCCUACCCUGGUCCCCCACCUCCAUUCCACUUGCUGGUCACUGACAAGUUUGCUCCCCACCUCUACUGUCUCUAUCAUAAUGCAAACCCCAUGAGAGAAGGGCUUCUGCCCAGAACCUAGGAUUGAGACAACCUCAAAGGAGCUAAUUGAUGCCUUUUCAUUAAAUGAAGGAGCAAAAUUCUCCCUGUGUUUCAAGCACUGUGGAAAGACUAGAUACGUUACCACAGUCCUAGGCCAGUGGCCCGACUCUGAGAUCCAACAGAUCAGGUCUGGUCACUCAUCCCAAAAACCAAACAGAAAAGGCAAGGGUAAAAAUCACUGAAGGAAUUUUAAUCAGUGUAGACACACCUGCAAGACAAGGGGACCCAAGUCCUUUGACCUGUUUUCCAGAGACUGACAAUGACCUUGAAGUUUUAUAUAAAGGAGAAAAGGGUAAGGGUUGAAGGUUUAUAUGUUUGGAGCCUUUUCACAGUUGCCAAAGUAGGUCCUCUUGAUCAGGUGUGGUCUGUCCAUCAUUAUCUCAGGAUUGGUCAGGUGGGUCCUUGUCCCAGAUAAGAAAGAUGCUAUUGCUUGUGGGUGGGGGCAGUUAGCGUCAAGUCACCACAAGAUGUUUAUUGAUCAGACCUUGUUCCUGAAAUCCAAGGUGUCUCAGAAUACAAAUAAUAGAGGCAAAAUAGAAGCAUAGGUACCAAAUCAAUAAUCUUGCUUUUAGCCACCCACUGGACUUUUGCAGACAAAAGUGAAGAGUCUUAAGUUUUUGUUCCAUUAUAGGUCCUCCUAGAUUUUCUGAGUUAAUAAUUCCUCACACUUUCUAGGUCAUGUUGUUCUGUAUCAGUUUAUAGGUGGUAUUCUAUAACUCAGAACCCUAAAUCUCAAAUGCCUCAGUCCAUCCAAGAGACUGAAGGAUCAAGACAUGUGUGCUUUGCAAAGCUCCCCCAUGUGUGCGCCUCCAUAGAAGCCCUUGGUGUGGUGGAGCUCUUAAUGAUUGAGAUGCAAUACUGUUAACCAUGGAUAUUACUCAGGGUCCUUCAGAGAGACAACCCAUACACAUGCAUUUUUGAGAAAGAGGUUUAUUUUUAAAAAAAUUGACUCAUGAAGUUUCUUGUAAUAGUCCACUUACGGAAACAGACUUGGUUAAAAUCUGCAGAGCCAGUGUCCCAGUUUGAGUAUGAAGGCCAGACUCUGCUGUAGAACCAGGGAGAGGUAAUGUUUUGUCUUAUUCAGGGGAGCGUCAGACUUUUCUUCUAGUCAGGACUUCAACUGAUUGCUUAAGGCUCACCCUCAUUGGGAAGGACACUCUGCUUUGCCCUGUCUACCAAUUCAGAUGUUAAACUCAUCCAAAAACAUCCUCAAAGAAAUUCCCAGAAUAAUGUUUAACCAAAUAUCUGGGCACCCUGCAGUCUAAUCAAGUUGACACAUAAAAUUAACCCUCACAGUGUGUCACAAGUUUUGUGCUUCUAGGGCUGUUCUUUUCCUUUUUCAUUUUUUAUUCAGCACUGAAGAUGGAAACCAGGGUCUCAUGCAUGCUAGGCAAGUGCUCUGCCCCUGAGCUACAAACUCAGUCUUCUCAGGAUGUUUUAAUUCCAUCAUCUCAAGAUUUGGUUCUUAUUGUUUAUAUUCUUAUUUCACAAAGAAAAUCGAGGCUCAAAAUCUAAGCACCUUGCUUUGCUAAAACACUUUGCCUUGCUAAAUUUUAGCCCUCUAACUCCAGGUACAUGUUUAC